This is an RNA transcript of Gastrolobium bilobum, 1737 nucleotides long. It is a transcript of the gene named SNAP25 homologous protein SNAP33-like, with no coding region annotated. The record is from RefSeq and is a predicted model, not a curated record. The transcript is spliced from 8 exons. Lineage: Eukaryota; Viridiplantae; Streptophyta; Magnoliopsida; Fabales; Fabaceae.
UUACCCAAAGAUCGAAGAGAUAACAAAAGGACAAGAAUGUCCUCGAUGGGUGGCAGCGAACUUGGAACCGAAUGUUUGGGUACCUUUAGUCCAAUGCAUUUGUGUUGAAUUUGCUUACAUAAAUGUCAAAUAGCUUCAGAAGUGAUAGUGAUCCUCCCUUUAAUGCGGGAGAACUUUUUCAACUUGGAACAAGAGGCAGAGAGAUACUAGAACAACAUGAGAAGUCAUUAUCAGAAGCUCAUACUGAAGAUAAGGAACACAUCCAGAGGUUGGAAAAAGAGCUGCUGAAUUGUUCUCAAGAAAUAGAUUAUCUUCAGGAUCAACUCAGUGCAAGGAACACAGAGGUGAACUAUCUAGAAGAGCGUGUUUGCAGCCUUGAAUUGAAACUGGAGGAGGUGGAACGUUUACAAGAAGAGGUUUUCAGCUUAAGGGAGGAGCUGAAAAGAUCCAAGUUAAAGCAAUUUUCCUUGAUCCAGGAAUUAGAGACUAAAGAAUUAGAUUUAGAGAAUUCAGCUUUGUCCAUAGAGAAAUUGGAGGAAUCGUUUUCGUCCAUGGCAUUAGAGUCUCAGUUUGAAGUAGAGAGUAUGAAGCUUGAUAUGAUGGCCUUGGAACAGAGUUUUUUCGAAGCCAAGAAAAUCCAGGAUGAAACUCUAGAAGAAAAUAAUAGAAUGAGUAGAUUAAUUGACGAGCUACAGCUAGCAUUGCAGGAUGCACAAAAAAUCAUCACCUCUCUAAAUGAAGAAAAUAGGGAACUUAAAGAGAAGCUUGAUACUACCAACAAGAACAAUAAUUUUUUUUCUCAAAAGGAUAAAUACUGGCUGGAAAACAAGGACAGAUCACAACUCAAGAAUCAAUCUUCCUUGAGUGAACAAGGGAGCAAUUCUACCAUACCAGAGGACGAAAGCACUUGUGGAGAAGUAUGGGGUCCACUCCAUGGAAGAUUGGCAAUGAUUGUAGAUCCAACUGCAGAUUUAGAAGGGAAGAAGGAGAGGUCACAUCAGAUCCAAGAAUAUGAAUUUCUUUUGAAGAAACUUAAGGAAGAAUUAAGAGAAGAAAAAUUGAAGGCCAAAGAAGAAGCAGAGGACUUAGUUCAGGAAAUGGCAGAGCUGAGAUACCAAUUUACAUGUUUGCUAGAAGAGGAAUGUAAGCGCCGUGCUUGCAUUGAACAGGCGUCCUUGCAAAGAAUUGCUGAGUUAGAGGCUCAGCUUCAAAGAGAGCACAAAAGUCCUUAAUUGCUGCCAGACAUCUCCAUGAAACAUAGACUCAUAGAGGCUGGCAUUGUCUUAAGUCUUUCAGGUUCAGCGAUAGAGAAUGACCUUACAGGGUGUAUAGUUCUGCAAAGUAUCCUGGCAAAAAAUUUGUUAUAUUCUGGAUAGCAACGGUGUGUUUUUCUCUGAAGGAAAAUUGAAAUCUAGGAUUUCUUCUUGUGCCUUAGUCUCAAAGAUUCCAUCGAAGCCGAAAGAAUCAAAGUGGGUUGUAUAGAAGGCCAGAGAAUGAUCACUUAAGAGGAUGUGUAAGUGGCAAGGUUUUUUGAAAGUAUGGGGUGCGUGCAAGGACUUGCCCGGAGUUUUUCUCUCUCUCUUUGUUUUGGGGGCUGUGUGGAGUAAUUGUACAUGAUCCACCUAUGAAUGUAGUUGGUAUAAUUUCACCGGUUUCAGUGCAUGUUUUUUAAUGAUUAAUUGUUGACGACCAAACUAAAACGUCUUUUUUUGUACUUGGUUUGGUUUAAGUACAAAA